Molecule: long non-coding RNA, 1666 nt
Filed under: Canis lupus familiaris (dog)
Lineage: Eukaryota; Metazoa; Chordata; Mammalia; Carnivora; Canidae
Description: lncRNA (ENSCAFG00030000383.1)
Source: RNAcentral
GCCCGGGGGGGCCAUCGGGCAGGGGACUGCCCUCCGGCCUGAGGACAGCUGACCUGUCCCUCGUCCGAGGUCGCGUAGAGAGGCUCUUCCACCGCGGGGAGCAGAGGCUAAGCCCUCGAUGGGCACUCUGGGCUCAGGUUGGCCACUAACUUGCUGUGAGACUUCCUGUAAAUCACUCCACCUCUCUGAUCCUUCGGGUCCUCAUUGUAGGGCCACACCCUGAUUCUUUUUUUUCUUUUUUUAAGAUUUUAUGUAUUUAUUCAUGAGAGACACAGAGAGAGAGAGAGAUAGAGAGAGAGAGAGAGAGAGAGAGAGAGAGAGAGGCAGAGACACAGGCAGAGGGAGAAGCAGGCUCCAUGCAGGGAGCCCAACACGGGACUCGAUCCUGGGACCCCAGGGUCAUGCCCCGGGCCCAAGGCAGAUGCUCAACCGCUGAGCCCCCCAGAUGCCCCACACCCCCUGAUUCUGAAUCUACUAUCGCUCGAGAGGGCGAACCGGGUGCCGCUCUCUUCUGCAGCGGGGGAGAGAGAUUGUCUUUUCCUGCCUGAAGGAGAAUUUGCUUAUAUUCGACUUUGCUCGCAGCAUCCUGGCCUGUCAGGGGUGGUAGUUUGGAGGUAUUAACGUGGAUGCGGAUGGUUCCAAUUUUGUGGGAUCCACAGCAAGACAGACAUUCUGUUAAUUUCACAUGGUGAAUUCUUGCAGCUUAAACCAUGAUGCAGAGUGAAAAAAAUGCUGUAGAUAAAUAUUGCCUGAACUCACCCAAACUUGUGAUAUCAUAAAAAACGAUUUCUUAAGUUGUUAAACCCUGAGCUCUCUGAUUCAUAGAUUCCCAAAGCCAACCCUUCCUUCUGUUUUCUCUCUGGUGCUCUGAGCUUUAUAGGAUAUAAUCCCCUAGAUGAGGACAAAACCAGAAUAGUUGGAGCUGGGGCAGGAAGGGCCCGCUGCCCUCGCCCGGGAGCCUAGCCUUGCGGGUGCCUGGACUUCGCGGCCCUGCAUCCCCCCUGCCGUCCCCACACUGCAAAGACCACAAGCUUCUGAGGGGAGGAACCAGCCAUUCGAAUUUUCUCAGGUUCCUCCUCCCCCUCCGCCACCGGGGCUUACGAAAUGCAUCUCGAGACUCCUGCAGAAACAGAAACACCAACCCUGAGGAAGAGGACAGUCAAUGUACUAGGAUCCUAGUGGGUCAUGAGGACACCAGGGAAAUCCGGACUUUGACAUUCAAAAUGUAUCUCCAGGGCCGCCUGGGGGGCUCAGUGGUUGAGCACCUGCCUUCAGCCCAGGGCGUGACCCCGGGGUCCCAGGAUCGAGUCCUGCAUUGGGCUCCCCGCAUGGAGCCUGCUUCUCCUCCCUCUGCCUCUGUCUCUGCCUCUCUCUGUGCAUCUUUCAUGAAUAAAUAAAUAAAAUCUUAAAAAAAAAAAACCCUGUAUCUCCAAACCAUUAUCCACUCCAGGACGAGGCAGAGGAAAACAAUCAGGGCAUAACAACCAAACCAUGAUGAUAAACGCACACGGUGAACCCCGGUCCUCUUGGCCGGGAUCUGGACUCGUUCCAUUUGGGUCGGAGGGAGUAAGUCCCAGGGUAGGUGCAUCUUACCUGGAAUGCCCCGAGCGGCCACAGGGCAGCCUGCCUCCUCCUGUGUGUUUUAUCCCCUCGGGGAUGCUUGCUU